UGGGGAAUAUUGCGCAAUGGGGGAAACCCUGACGCAGCAACGCCGCGUGCGGGAUGAAGGCUUUCGGGUUGUAAACCGCUUUCAGCAGGGAAGAUAAUGACGGUACCUGCAGAAGAAGCCCCGGCUAACUACGUGCCAGCAGCCGCGGUAAUACGUAGGGGGCAAGCGUUAUCCGGAUUCAUUGGGCGUAAAGCGCGCGCAGGCGGGCCGCUAAGCGGGACCUCUAAUCUUGGGGCUCAACCUCAAGCCGGGUCCCGAACUGGCAGCCUCGAGUGCGGUAGGGGUAAGCGGAAUUCCCGGUGUAGCGGUGGAAUGCGCAGAUAUCGGGAAGAACACCGAUGGCGAAGGCAGCUUACUGGGCCGACACUGACGCUGAGGCGCGAAAGCUAGGGGAGCGAACAGG
RNAcentral lists this ribosomal RNA (403 nucleotides) under uncultured bacterium. RNAcentral describes it as "bacterial SSU rRNA". It matches the Rfam family "Bacterial small subunit ribosomal RNA", at positions 355 to 776 of the family's 1533-position model. The record is from RNAcentral.